Long non-coding RNA from Cornus florida, 613 nucleotides. RefSeq lists it as uncharacterized. The transcript has 3 exons. NCBI's taxonomy places the organism in Eukaryota, Viridiplantae, Streptophyta, Magnoliopsida, Cornales, Cornaceae. The record is from RefSeq and is a predicted model, not a curated record.
AACCCGUACUCUAUUUUCAUUUCAAUUUUCACACUAGAGCUUAUUCCUAUCUCUCCGAGUUCACUCGCAUAAAGCCCUAGUCUGAAUCAGAUUUAGAUUCUCCUUCCCUCUCAGAUCCAAUCCCUUCUUUCUCUCGCUUGACCCUUCCCCAACUCCAUCUCCAUCUCUGUCUUGUCGCUUCCAAUCUCUACAUUAUUUUUGAAGCCCUAAUCUGAACAAUUUUUUUCGCAAAAAAGUUGAACCCAGUUUAUUUUUCAAUCUGAUUGAUUCUCGCUCUCAAAAUAUAUCAGUUGAAUUGAAGCCCUAGAGUGGAAUUAUGUUGGAAGCCAUUGAGGAUGCAAGAAACCGACCAAUAAAGUUUCAUUGAGCUCUAUUCAAGCUUGAUUGAGCGCAACAAAUUAAUCAGUGUACGUGCAGUGGACACAACAAACAAGAAGUGGGAUGAAUCAAUAUUUUCUCAAGGUUUCAAAUUGAUUGCAAUCUGGCUCCCUUUUUGGAUUUGGAUCUUAGAUUUUUUUUGAAAUUUUGAUAUGUGAACGUGAUUAGUUGUGUAAUAUUGGAUUUGGAUAUUAAUAUUUUGAUAUGUGUUGGAAUUAUCAUUUUAGAUUUUGAA